Molecule: transfer RNA, 75 nt
Filed under: Myxococcales bacterium
Lineage: Bacteria; Pseudomonadati; Myxococcota; Myxococcia; Myxococcales
Description: tRNA-Thr
Rfam family: tRNA
About the family: Transfer RNA (tRNA) molecules are approximately 80 nucleotides in length.
Source: RNAcentral
GCCGCUUUAGCUCAGGGGUAGAGCAACGGUUUCGUAAACCGUAGGUCAUCGGUUCAAUUCCGAUAAGCGGCUCCA